GAUGAACGCUGGCGGCGUGCCUAAUACAUGCAAGUCGAGCGAACAGACGAGGAGCUUGCUCCUCUGACGUUAGCGGCGGACGGGUGAGUAACACGUGGAUAACCUACCUAUAAGACUGGGAUAACUUCGGGAAACCGGAGCUAAUACCGGAUAAUCUAUUGAACCGCAUUGUUCAAUAGUGAAAGACGGUUUUGCUGUCACUUAUAGAUGGAUCCGCGCCGCAUUAGCUAGUUGGUAAGGUAACGGCUUACCAAGGCAACGAUGCGUAGCCGACCUGAGAGGGUGAUCGGCCACACUGGAACUGAGACACGGUCCAGACUCCUACGGGAGGCAGCAGUAGGGAAUCUUCCGCAAUGGGCGAAAGCCUGACGGAGCAACGCCGCGUGAGUGAUGAAGGUCUUCGGAUCGUAAAACUCUGUUAUUAGGGAAGAACAAAUGUGUAAGUAACUAUGCACGUCUUGACGGUACCUAAUCAGAAAGCCACGGCUAACUACGUG
RNAcentral lists this ribosomal RNA (497 nucleotides) under uncultured bacterium. Its description in RNAcentral is "partial 16S ribosomal RNA". It matches the Rfam family "Bacterial small subunit ribosomal RNA", at positions 28 to 507 of the family's 1533-position model. The record is from RNAcentral.